This is a non-coding RNA of Cordylochernes scorpioides, 73 nucleotides long. NCBI's taxonomy places the organism in Eukaryota, Metazoa, Arthropoda, Arachnida, Pseudoscorpiones, Chernetidae. The record is from the annotation of a GenBank genome assembly.
GUCCAGGAAUGGGAAUCGAACCCACAAUGUUCCGCUUACCGGGCAGAUGCCAUGUCCACUAGGCUACCCUGGA